Long non-coding RNA from Metopolophium dirhodum (rose-grain aphid), 1716 nucleotides. RefSeq lists it as uncharacterized. The record is from RefSeq and is a predicted model, not a curated record. NCBI's taxonomy places the organism in Eukaryota, Metazoa, Arthropoda, Insecta, Hemiptera, Aphididae. The transcript has 4 exons.
CGACGUUGUCAGUUUCACGGUUCAUUUGUCAACACACUAAGCCAUCAUAAAAUAUUUUAUAAUAUUCUUCGUCUUUUACACUUCUGGAACUUGGAGUUCUUUGGAAAAUAUUUAAACUUCUGCCGCGUGCGACAGUGAAAUGUACUGUCGUGGACCAUUAUUGUAUACUGUUCAAAUGCCUGAUGUAUUCAAUGAUUCUAAGAUGUUUGUAGACAUGAAAAUGAAAUUAUUACCUAAUGAAACCAUGGAUAAAUUCAUGGAUAAUAUGAGAUAUUGGAAAUAUAAACCAACCAAAGAUCUUCUGAUGGAGUUCGUCCGUGAAUUUUUUGAUAAAGGAGAUUCUGAGUUUGAAAAAUUGACUCCCACCGAUUGGAUCAAAGAACCAAAACUUGUUAAUAGUAUUAAGGAUGAACAAUUUAAUAAUUGGACAAUAGAAAUAAAUGCAAUAUGGAUAGAAGUUUAAUUAAUUAAAAAAUUUUAUUAAUAAAAAUGGAAAACAUUGUACUUUAGCAGUAUAUAUAUAUUAUAUUUAUAAGGUUAUUUGUUAACAGGACCACGACCCGAAUCAUACAUGUUAAUUUUAGUUUUGUACUUUAUAGAAGUUAUCACAAAUUUAAUUUAUGGGUUUAUAAAUAUUAAUUGAUGUUACUGAUUAUUUUUGACUGAACAGUGAACACUAGCAUGGGUGGAAUUAAUAAUUAACGUUUUGUCUUAAUUUCAAAUUUAUUUAAUUAUUCUGUGGCACUGUGCAUUUUUAUAUUAAGUACUACCUAUUUGCCUAAGAAUCAUACAUGUUUAUACUUGGGGUUAAUAGAAAAUAACAUCUACAUUUCAAAUUUUUAUAAUUUCAAAAUAUGUUUUGUAUUAUAACAGGGAAGACAUGACCAAAGCACAACCCCUAACAACUGAAAGUGAAAAAAAAACUUUAAUUCUGAGAUCAAGGCUGCGGCGGCGGAAUCUGGGUGGAACUUUUCGAGUCGUCGGGUCAUCCUCAAUGGAACGAAUGAAGGAAUCAAUUUAUUAUCGACGAUGAUGUCGGUACCAAUAUUAUAGCUGUUAAGAAAAAGAUAAGGUGGAAUUUGCUUUCACAUUAAGAUGGUCACCGGGUAGUUUGAUCACUAUAGUCAACACACAAGGCGGCAGUAGGCACCACUCAAUAUAUCACUUCGGGCACACCUUUUAACGACAUCCCUCUCCCCCCCUUGAAGUUACCACCUGAGAUGAACCACAACAACAACGUGUUCGUGGUAUCGAAUGCUGAUAGCAAAGCGGAUAUCAUGUGUGGCGAGGUGGUGGUUGUGGAUUGCGAGGCGGUAAUUGUGACUGGUUAGGUGGUAAUCACGGUUGGCAUAAUGACAACGAAGAGCGGUAUGUCGAAGGUAGCAAUGGCGAUCGUGAAUUGUUUAAAGUUAAAAAUCUAUGAAAUUCGAAACUAAUUUAUAUGGAAAUACUGUAUACCUAAAGUAGAAACACUAUAGUCUAUAAUUUAGUUUUAGGCUGGAAAAAAAAUAAGUACGCUAGCGUUGCAUAAACAAAUUAACUUUUUUUUAACUUAUUAAAAAGUUAACAAAAAGUGUGUAUUAACUUUUAACUUAACUGAGUUAACCUAUAGUUAAAUUAAAUUUUAACUUUUAAAUUUUUUCUAUUGGUGCAUAUUAACUUAACUUAACUGAGUUCAAAAAAAAUCAUUAACUUGCUAUGAUAAUAUGUAUUUAA